GUGGGGAAUCUUGCGCAAUGUGCGAAAGCCUGACGCAGCCAUGCCGCGUGGAUGAUGAAGGUCUUAGGAUUGUAAAAUCCUUUCACCGGUGAAGAUAAUGACUGUAGCCGGAGAAGAAGCCCCGGCUAACUUCGUGCCAGCAGCCGCGGUAAUACGAAGGGGGCUAGCGUUGCUCGGAUUUACUGGGCGUAAAGGGCGCGUAGGCGGACAUUUAAGUCAGGGGUGAAAUCCCGGGGCUCAACCUCGGAACUGCCUUUGAUACUGGGUGUCUUGAGUAUGAGAGAGGUGUGUGGAACUCCGAGUGUAGAGGUGAAAUUCGUAGAUAUUCGGAAGAACACCAGUGGCGAAGGCGACACACUGGCUCAUUACUGACGCUGAGGCGCGAAAGCGUGGGGAGCAAACAGGAUUAGAAACCCGUGUAGUCC
Molecule: ribosomal RNA, 425 nt
Filed under: uncultured bacterium
Lineage: Bacteria
Description: partial 16S ribosomal RNA
Rfam family: Bacterial small subunit ribosomal RNA
Source: RNAcentral